CUACGGGCUGCUGCAGUGGGGAAUAUUGGGCAAUGGGCGCAAGCCUGACCCAGCAACGCCGCGUGAGGGAAGAAUGUCUUCGGAUUGUAAACCUCUGUCCUUGGGGACGAAAAAAAUGACGGUACCCAAGGAGGAAGCUCCGGCUAACUACGUGCCAGCAGCCGCGGUAAUACGUAGGGAGCAAGCGUUGUCCGGAAUUAUUGGGCGUAAAGGGUGCGUAGGCGGCGCUGUAAGUCAGAUGUGAAAUCCCCGGGCUUAACUCGGGAGUUGCAUUUGAAACUACAGUGCUUGAGUAAAGAAGGGGUAAGUGGAAUUCCUAGUGUAGCGGUGGAAUGCGUAGAUAUUAGGAGGAACACCAGUGGCGAAGGCGACUUACUGGUCUUUUACUGACGCUGAGGCACGAAAGCGUGGGGAGCAAACAGGAUUAGAUACCCGGGUAGUC
Molecule: ribosomal RNA, 442 nt
Filed under: uncultured bacterium
Lineage: Bacteria
Description: partial 16S ribosomal RNA
Rfam family: Bacterial small subunit ribosomal RNA
Source: RNAcentral